RNAcentral lists this ribosomal RNA (374 nucleotides) under uncultured bacterium. Its description in RNAcentral is "bacterial SSU rRNA". It matches the Rfam family "Bacterial small subunit ribosomal RNA", at positions 525 to 896 of the family's 1533-position model. The record is from RNAcentral.
ACGUAGGGGGCAAGCGUUAUUCGGAAUCAUUGGGCGUAAAGCGCUCGUAGGCGGCGCCGUACGACCCGUGUGAAAGCCCCCGGCUCAACUGGGGAGGGUCACGGGUUACGGCGGUGCUGUGAGUGCAGGAGAGGGGAGUGGAACUCCGGGAGUAGCGGUGAAAUGCGUAGAGACCCGGAGGAACACCAGUGGCGAAGGCGGCUCCCUGGUCUGCAACUGACGCUGUGGCGCGAAAGCUGGGGGAGCGAACGGGAUUAGAUACCCCGGUAGUCCCAGCCGUAAACGAUGGACACUAGGUGUGCGCGGUAUCGACCCCGCGCGUGCCGGAGCUAACGCAGUAAGUGUCCCGCCUGGGGAGUACGGCCGCAAGGCUA